This 253-nucleotide ribosomal RNA is filed under the name uncultured bacterium. RNAcentral describes it as "partial 16S ribosomal RNA". It matches the Rfam family "Bacterial small subunit ribosomal RNA", at positions 524 to 776 of the family's 1533-position model. The record is from RNAcentral.
UACAGAGGGGGCAAGCGUUGUUCGGAAUUACUGGGCGUAAAGAGCUCGUAGGCGGCCAACUAAGUCGGACGUGAAAUCCCCAGGCUCAACCUGGGAACUGCGUCCGAUACUGGAUGGCUUGAAUCCGGGAGAGGGAUGCAGAAUUCCAGGUGUAGCGGUGAAAUGCGUAGAUAUCUGGAGGAAUACCGGUGGCGAAGGCGGCAUCCUGGACCGGCAUUGACGCUGAGGAGCGAAAGCCAGGGGAGCAAACGGG